CAGACCUCAUCUUAACGAAUCGUAUCUGCAAAGACCUUUAUUUCCAGUAAGGUCACAUGCUGAGGUUCUGGGGAGAUGUGAAUUUGAGGCGGGUCCAGUUCAACCCACAGCACCAGGUGAUACACUCACCCCCACUCUCCCUACAGCAUGACUCUUCCCAGCCAUCAGGGAAAAAGCCACCUCCCCAGAGAAGCCCUCCCUGAUCACUCCACCUACACUGAGGGUCUCUUGCCCAGUUCUUCUUCUUUUUUUAAAUUAAUGUAUACUUGAUUUACAGUGUGGUGUCCAUUUCUGCUGUACAGCAUACUGACCCAGUGACACACACACACACACACACACACACACACACACACACACACACAUCCUUUCUCUCAUACUCUUCUUUGUCACAGCCUCCCCCCUGCUUCCUUCACAGCCAUGUUCUCCUUUACCUGUCUGCACCCCCAGACCUGAAACUCCUUGAGAGCUGGAACUCUCUCAGUUCUGUUUUUCAGGUGUCAAAGCAGCCCUUUUCAUGAGGACGACGGAUGCUUCUAGAAGGAAGGAGUGAGUACCCACCAAGGCUCUGGGCUCAGCCCCGCCUCCACCUGCUGUGUGACCUUGGGACAUCUCUGAGCAGCUUGGCGCCUCAGUAGCCUCACUUGUAAGAGUGGGGCUCUCUCCAAGGGCCCAUCACUUGGAGAGGGUUAGCCACCCUGUUUCCAUCUUCAUGACAGGAAUUUCAAGACAGCAAUGGUAGAUCGUGAAACCAACACAAGACCCGGCUGACUUCCCAGGUCACAAACCCACCUGGCCAGCUCUGGCUGUUGGGCUUUGAACUUCUUUUCUUGUAUGUUAAAAAAAAAAACCUCAAGUGAUCACCUCAUGCCUGUCAGAAUGGCUGUUAUCAAAAAGGUAAGUAAUAACCAGUCUUGGGGAGGAUGUGGAGACAGGGAAACCUCGUGCAUGUUGGUAAGGAUAGGGGUUGGCACAGCCACAAUGGAAACGGCAUGGGGGUUUCUCAGAAAAUUAAAGUGGAACUACCAUAUGAUCCAGCUGUCCCACUCCCGGGUAUUUAUCCAAAGACUAUGAAAACACUAAUUCAAAAAUAUAUAUGAACCCUUUGUUCACUGCAGCCUUAUUUACAGGUUCAAAAGAGGAAAGCUACUGACGUGCCCACCAAAGGAUGAAUGGAUAAAGAUGUCCAAUAUAUAUAAAAUAUGGCUUGAUACUCAGCGAUCAAAAAAGACGGAAUCAUGCCUUUGGCAACAACAUGGAUGGACCUUGAGAGGCUUAUGCUACGUGAAGUAAGUCAGAUGGAGAAUGACCCAGACCGUGUGAGUUCACUCACAUGGGGCGUUUAAAAACCAAGCAAACGAACAAAACAUUGACGUAGAUGAACCCAACCAAACUAAAGCAAGACAAACCUGUAGAUACAGAGCACAGCGUGGUGGUCACCAGAGAGGAAGAGGGUGAAAUGGGUGAAGGCGACAGAAACUGAAUUUUGGGUGGAAGAGCUGAUUUCCUACUUCCUAUGGACCAAAGCAUGGGCAAGGUAAUGAUCCAGCCAUGACCUUGGAGGUGAAGGUGACAUACGAGGAGAAUGCUGUGGCAGGAAAAUGGAAGGAACCCCAGUCCCUGCAUGGCUGUGGAACAGGGCUGCCCUGUCAUCUUAGACCACUCACUCAUCUUCGAUUUUUAGGGAAAUCUGGACACAGAGGGAUGUGCCCCGGGAAGACGCUGUAAAAUGGCACAGGGAAGAGACACUCAUCUACCGCCAAGGAGAGAAGCACAGCCCUCGAAAGGAAGCAAACCUGCCAACACCUUCAUCGUGGACUUCCAGCCUCCAGACUGUGAGUCCGUGAAUUUCUGUUGCCUAAACUUCCCAGUCUAUGGCACUUUGUGAGGAAAGCCCGAGAACUCACGUAGCAGGAAGAAGAACUUUUGAAGAUUCCCUUGCAGCCAGGUUUGGCCACAUGAUGCAACACUAGCCAAUGAAAUGCCAGCACCGCGAGAGAAAAGGAUGCUGGGAGAGUUUCCCGGAAAGACUUGAUUUCCUUGCAGAGGCUGCUGGUGCACCCAUUUCCCCCUCUCCUGCCUUGGCUGCGGACGGGCUAUUAUGGGUCAUUUUAUGGCCAUGAGAGAAAGUGCUAGAGCUUGGGAAGAUGCCAGCCCUGCCGCUCUUGCCCCACCUGUAACUGCCUCCUUUUAGCCUCCUCCUUCCUUAAUCCACACUGGUCAGGGCUUCUGGGAUUUACAGAGGAACAAAUUCCUGAUGCAUCUGCUCCUUAAGUGCCUCUGACCACCUUCACCGGGCUGUUGCAUAAAACGGUGUUGCAAACGGUGUUAACACCAUGUCCCUGUGAGUUAUUGUCACAGUAAACAAAGCCCUCCCCAAAGCUGAGGUGUCAUUUUCCAGCUUGUCUCCAGCCCCUGACUAUAAAGCCCUGUGUUGGUUCCCCCACCAAGGAAUCAGAUGGGCUGAAAGAUACUCUGUUUUCAGUCCUUUAGCUUGAUUAUUAUUUCAAGCUGGAGGGAGGCCUAGAGAUCUUUUCAUUCAAUACCCUUCGUCUAUAGAUAAGGCAACUGAGGCCCAGAGAGGCUGAGUGAGUUGUCCAAGGACACAGAGCAAGGCCUCGGCAGAGCCAGGCCUUGCAUCCAGGUGUCCUUGGGUCCCAGGGCAGGGCUCCUCCUUCACAUAGACUGAGUGGACUUUGAGACUCAUGUAAGAGUCUAUAUCUGAGAGUCGAUUGUUUAAAAUGCUUUUCUGGCUCAGGGCCCAGCUGAAUUCAUCCCUUUCUCCCUCUUGUCUGAGCAGACGUGACCUCUUCCUUCUAACAUGGGCUGCUCAGCACCACUGGAUUUUCUGUUUGUUUGUUUUUUGUCUUUUUAGGGCCGCACUCAUGGCACAUGGAAGUUCCCAGACUGGGGGUCGUAUUGGAGAUCUAGCCGCUGGCCUGCACCUCAGCCACAGCAAUGUGGGAUCCAAGCCAUGUCUGUGACCUACAGCUCAGCGCAUGGCAAUGCUGGAUCCUUAACCCACUCAUCAAGGCCAAGGAUCGAACCUGUGUCCUCAUGGAUACAAGUCAGGUUCAUUACCACUGAGCCACGACAGGAACUCCAUGGGUUUGUUUUUUUGUCUUUCUUCUCUUGCCACCACCAACAACAAUGAUUACCUUUGUUGCCAUUUACCAUGUACCAGGCACUGUGAAAGUACUUUCCAAACAUUGUCUUAAGUAGCAAUCUAGGUAGCACGAGGACAUCAGUCUUACUGUUCCCAUUUAUAGAUUCACUCCCCACCCCCUUUCUUUUAAUAAAGUGUAGGUGAUUU
This 3310-nucleotide long non-coding RNA is filed under the name Sus scrofa (pig). Its description in RNAcentral is "lncRNA (ENSSSCG00000059194.1)". Lineage: Eukaryota; Metazoa; Chordata; Mammalia; Artiodactyla; Suidae. The record is from RNAcentral.